RNAcentral lists this ribosomal RNA (254 nucleotides) under uncultured bacterium. RNAcentral describes it as "partial 16S ribosomal RNA". It matches the Rfam family "Bacterial small subunit ribosomal RNA", at positions 524 to 776 of the family's 1533-position model. The record is from RNAcentral.
UACGAAGGGGGCUAGCGUUGCUCGGAAUGACUGGGCGUAAAGGGCGCGUAGGCGGUUUGGACAGUCAGGCGUGAAAUUCCCGGGCUUAACCUGGGGGCUGCGCUUGAUACAUCCAGGCUUGAGUGGGGAAGAGGGUCGUGGAAUUCCCAGUGUAGAGGUGAAAUUCGUAGAUAUUGGGAAGAACACCGGUGGGCGAAGGCGGCGACCUGGUCCUUUACUGACGCUGAGGCGCGAAAGCGUGGGGAGCAAACAGG